GUGUUGUAUGAGCCGAGAGACAGUUGGCACAUCCCCUAGAUAAGGACGGAGAUGUAUAUUUUGUCCAAAUAUAACAACACAUGUUGAUAAAAAGGCAUAAAUAUGUUCUGAUAUUUAUAUCGGGGCAUGUCUUUCAACAGUUUUUUUUU
Molecule: small nuclear RNA, 149 nt
Organism: Neocallimastix californiae
Lineage: Eukaryota; Fungi; Neocallimastigomycota; Neocallimastigomycetes; Neocallimastigales; Neocallimastigaceae
Source: Rfam